RNAcentral lists this ribosomal RNA (2757 nucleotides) under Salmonella enterica subsp. enterica serovar Enteritidis. RNAcentral describes it as "partial 23S ribosomal RNA". It matches the Rfam family "Bacterial large subunit ribosomal RNA". The record is from RNAcentral. Lineage: Bacteria; Pseudomonadati; Pseudomonadota; Gammaproteobacteria; Enterobacterales; Enterobacteriaceae.
AAUCCAUAGGUUAAUGAGGCGAACCGGGGGAACUGAAACAUCUAAGUACCCCGAGGAAAAGAAAUCAACCGAGAUUCCCCCAGUAGCGGCGAGCGAACGGGGAGGAGCCCAGAGCCUGAAUCAGCAUGUGUGUUAGUGGAAGCGUCUGGAAAGGCGCGCGAUACAGGGUGACAGCCCCGUACACAAAAGCGCAUGUGCUGUGAGCUCGAUGAGUAGGGCGGGACACGUGGUAUCCUGUCUGAAUAUGGGGGGACCAUCCUCCAAGGCUAAAUACUCCUGACUGACCGAUAGUGAACCAGUACCGUGAGGGAAAGGCGAAAAGAACCCCGGCGAGGGGAGUGAAAAAGAACCUGAAACCGUGUACGUACAAGCAGUGGGAGCACCCUUUGGGUGUGACUGCGUACCUUUUGUAUAAUGGGUCAGCGACUUAUAUUCUGUAGCAAGGUUAACCGAAUAGGGGAGCCGGAGGGAAACCGAGUCUUAAUUGGGCGUUAAGUUGCAGGGUAUAGACCCGAAACCCGGUGAUCUAGCCAUGGGCAGGUUGAAGGUUGGGUAACACUAACUGGAGGACCGAACCGACUAAUGUUGAAAAAUUAGCGGAUGACCUGUGGCUGGGGGUGAAAGGCCAAUCAAACCGGGAGAUAGCUGGUUCUCCCCGAAAGCUAUUUAGGUAGCGCCUCGUGAAUUCAUCUCCGGGGGUAGAGCACUGUUUCGGCUAGGGGGCCAUCCCGGCUUACCAACCCGAUGCAAACUGCGAAUACCGGAGAAUGUUAUCACGGGAGACACACGGCGGGUGCUAACGUCCGUCGUGAAGAGGGAAACAACCCAGACCGCCAGCUAAGGUCCCAAAGUCAUGGUUAAGUGGGAAACGAUGUGGGAAGGCCCAGACAGCCAGGAUGUUGGCUUAGAAGCAGCCAUCAUUUAAAGAAAGCGUAAUAGCUCACUGGUCGAGUCGGCCUGCGCGGAAGAUGUAACGGGGCUAAACCAUGCACCGAAGCUGCGGCAGCGACACUGUGUGUUGUUGGGUAGGGGAGCGUUCUGUAAGCCUGUGAAGGUGUGUCGUGAGGCAUGCUGGAGGUAUCAGAAGUGCGAAUGCUGACAUAAGUAACGAUAAAGCGGGUGAAAAGCCCGCUCGCCGGAAGACCAAGGGUUCCUGUCCAACGUUAAUCGGGGCAGGGUGAGUCGACCCCUAAGGCGAGGCCGAAAGGCGUAGUCGAUGGGAAACGGGUUAAUAUUCCCGUACUUGGUGUUACUGCGAAGGGGGGACGGAGAAGGCUAUGUUGGCCGGGCGACGGUUGUCCCGGUUUAAGCGUGUAGGUGUGUGUUCCAGGUAAAUCCGGUUCACUUUAACACUGAGGCGUGACGACGAGGCACUACGGUGCUGAAGCAACAAAUGCCCUGCUUCCAGGAAAAGCCUCUAAGCAUCAGGUAACAUCAAAUCGUACCCCAAACCGACACAGGUGGUCAGGUAGAGAAUACCAAGGCGCUUGAGAGAACUCGGGUGAAGGAACUAGGCAAAAUGGUGCCGUAACUUCGGGAGAAGGCACGCUGACACGUAGGUGAAGUGAUUUACUCAUGGAGCUGAAGUCAGUCGAAGAUACCAGCUGGCUGCAACUGUUUAUUAAAAACACAGCACUGUGCAAACACGAAAGUGGACGUAUACGGUGUGACGCCUGCCCGGUGCCGGAAGGUUAAUUGAUGGGGUCAGCGCAAGCGAAGCUCCUGAUCGAAGCCCCGGUAAACGGCGGCCGUAACUAUAACGGUCCUAAGGUAGCGAAAUUCCUUGUCGGGUAAGUUCCGACCUGCACGAAUGGCGUAAUGAUGGCCAGGCUGUCUCCACCCGAGACUCAGUGAAAUUGAACUCGCUGUGAAGAUGCAGUGUACCCGCGGCAAGACGGAAAGACCCCGUGAACCUUUACUAUAGCUUGACACUGAACAUUGAGCCUUGAUGUGUAGGAUAGGUGGGAGGCUUUGAAGUGUGGACGCCAGUCUGCAUGGAGCCGACCUUGAAAUACCACCCUUUAAUGUUUGAUGUUCUAACGUGGACCCGUUACCCGGGUUGCGGACAGUGUCUGGUGGGUAGUUUGACUGGGGCGGUCUCCUCCUAAAGAGUAACGGAGGAGCACGAAGGUUGGCUAAUCCUGGUCGGACAUCAGGAGGUUAGUGCAAUGGCAUAAGCCAGCUUGACUGCGAGCGUGACGGCGCGAGCAGGUGCGAAAGCAGGUCAUAGUGAUCCGGUGGUUCUGAAUGGAAGGGCCAUCGCUCAACGGAUAAAAGGUACUCCGGGGAUAACAGGCUGAUACCGCCCAAGAGUUCAUAUCGACGGCGGUGUUUGGCACCUCGAUGUCGGCUCAUCACAUCCUGGGGCUGAAGUAGGUCCCAAGGGUAUGGCUGUUCGCCAUUUAAAGUGGUACGCGAGCUGGGUUUAGAACGUCGUGAGACAGUUCGGUCCCUAUCUGCCGUGGGCGCUGGAGAACUGAGGGGGGCUGCUCCUAGUACGAGAGGACCGGAGUGGACGCAUCACUGGUGUUCGGGUUGUCAUGCCAAUGGCACUGCCCGGUAGCUAAAUGCGGAAGAGAUAAGUGCUGAAAGCAUCUAAGCACGAAACUUGCCCCGAGAUGAGUUCUCCCUGAGACUUAAAGUCUCCUGAAGGAACGUUGAAGACGACGACGUUGAUAGGCCGGGUGUGUAAGCGCAGCGAUGCGUUGAGCUAACCGGUACUAAUGAACCGUGAGGCUUAACCUUACAACGCCGAAG